Molecule: ribosomal RNA, 305 nt
Filed under: uncultured bacterium
Lineage: Bacteria
Description: bacterial SSU rRNA
Rfam family: Bacterial small subunit ribosomal RNA
Source: RNAcentral
AUCUCCCUACGGGAGGCAGCAGUGAGGAAUAUUGGUCAAUGGGCGGAAGCCUGAACCAGCCAAGUCGCGUGAGGGAAUAAGGCGCUACGGGUCGUAAACCUCUUUUGCCGGGGAGCAAGGGCCGGGACGCGUCCCGGCCCGGAGAGUACCCGGAGAAAAAGCAUCGGCUAACACCGUGCCAGCAGCCGCGGUAAUACGGAGGAUGCGAGCGUUAUCCGGAUUUAUUGGGUUUAAAGGGUGCGUAGGCGGGCUUUUAAGUCAGCGGUAAAAUUGCGGGGCUCAACCCCGUCGAGCCGUUGAAACUG